RNAcentral lists this long non-coding RNA (514 nucleotides) under Vigna radiata. RNAcentral's name for it is "long non-coding RNA (VRAD_LNC010987)". The record is from RNAcentral. Lineage: Eukaryota; Viridiplantae; Streptophyta; Magnoliopsida; Fabales; Fabaceae.
GUACAUUUUAGCAAUGUGUAUCAGGUUUCAGUAGACAAAAAUACCCUUAUAUAUCAUGAAUUCUAAGUUUUAAGGUUAAGGGUAUUUUAAUAAUUUUCAUUCUAAAAAUUAAAAAAAUAAAAAAGAAACCCCCAAACCCUUACCCAUCUCUCUCAUUCCUCUCAACCAUUUCUCUUUCAUCUCUUUCACUCCAACCUUUUCUUUGUCAUCCCUACUCUAGCUCCAAUUGAAAAAAAUCAGAACCACUUACCUUAUUUUAAUAAUUUUCAUUCUCAAAACUAAAAAAAGAAAACCCCAAACCCUUACUCACCUCCUUCAUUCCUCUCAACCCUUUCUCCUUCAUCUCUCUCACUCAAACAUUUUCUCUGUCAUCUCUGCACUAGCCCCAACUAAAAAAACAUUCAUUAUUAAACGAUUUACUUUUGUAAAGAGUUGAGUCAUAUUCACCUUUCGAAAAAAGUUCAUUCAAAAUCUCUUUAAUUUCAUUAUCUUCCCUAUAUAUAUUACAGCCGAC